This is a long non-coding RNA of Rhododendron vialii, 187 nucleotides long. RefSeq lists it as uncharacterized. The record is from RefSeq and is a predicted model, not a curated record. Lineage: Eukaryota; Viridiplantae; Streptophyta; Magnoliopsida; Ericales; Ericaceae. The transcript has 3 exons.
CAGCAGCAGCAGCAGCAGCCGCUACAAUAAUUAUUAUUAUGGCGGAAGAUUCGCAGGCUUGGUGAUUCUGCUCCACAUUCCGAUUAUUGUUGGAGGUGGAAUACUUGCCAAUGUUGCCUUUAAGUGGGGCUUAUGGAAGCUGCAAAAUCCUGGGAAAUCAUAUGAAGACUAUCUGGAAUCCAAGGAA